GGUAAGAUGGCCGAAGCUUAGGCGGUGGAUUGUAGCUUCACAUAUAGAGGUUUAAAUCCUCUUCUUAUCA
RNAcentral lists this transfer RNA (70 nucleotides) under Nematobrycon palmeri (emperor tetra). RNAcentral describes it as "tRNA-Tyr". It matches the Rfam family "tRNA". From Rfam's summary of the family: Transfer RNA (tRNA) molecules are approximately 80 nucleotides in length. Their secondary structure includes four short double-helical elements and three loops (D, anti-codon, and T loops). Lineage: Eukaryota; Metazoa; Chordata; Actinopteri; Characiformes; Acestrorhamphidae. The record is from RNAcentral. RNAcentral also lists the same sequence under 1 other name.